AUAUUAACAAAGUCGUCUGUUUCGUCGGGCGUGUUGAGAGGGUACACCCAACUGGAACAGCUUUCGCUGUCACUGAUGGAGAGGGACAACAUGUUCUUGUUGAACUAAAUUUCUCUACCUGGAACUGUACAAUGAAGCUGUAAAGUUCAUCCAUCGCUUCCCUGAGCACUAUCCUUUUAACAUGGCUGCAGGUGG
Long non-coding RNA from Hippocampus comes (tiger tail seahorse), 195 nucleotides. RefSeq lists it as uncharacterized. NCBI's taxonomy places the organism in Eukaryota, Metazoa, Chordata, Actinopteri, Syngnathiformes, Syngnathidae. The record is from RefSeq and is a predicted model, not a curated record. The transcript is spliced from 3 exons.